ACAAGUGGAAGCCAUCCACCCUCUCUGAUUUUUGAUAGAACCGAAAUAUGAGCGAGAAACAUAAAGCCAGAAACUAAUUUGUCCGCCAGAUUAGAAGAAUUACAAGUGUCACUAAAGUGGUGCUCACAAUCAUCAGACCGACCGCAGCUAUGCCAGCAAGUUGAACAUGAAUUGCAGUAGGAAUACCCAAAAUUAAAGCCGACAGGAUUAGUUACUACUGUUCAUUCAACUCCUCCCUUGUAACAAACAGUAUGGCAUUAUACAGGAUUUAAAACUCACUUGGUAUACCAUAUAGCAUCAGAAAAGUUUUGAAAUUGAAACUCAUUUGUCACCAGCAAACACCAUAAAAUCACAGGGCCAUCACAGCACAGCGGAGAAUAUCAACAGGUCUUCCCCUGAAAAAGAAAGGGAAUAGGAUUCUUUCUUUUUUUGGUUGGAAGCAGCAGGGAAGGAAGGUGAUGCUUAAAGAAAAAUAAUUGAGAAAAGAGAAGCACGCGUCCAGGGUAAAGAAAAAUGUAGAAUAUGCUGUCAAUUAGAUGUAUCAAUCAAGCAUUUAUAACACAUACCAAUAUACAAUUGCAAAUUUGCAAUAGGUCUUAAUUCUUACACAUGAAUUUUCUCUAGAACUAAUUAUUAAAAAGUCUAUUGUACCCUUAACAUUUUAUUUUUACUUAUUACACCAUUAAACUGUUAUUUAUUGUAAUCAAUAGGCAAGAUUUGCCUCACUCAUCAAUGAAUAAUUGAAUGUUCAAGUUGAAAUAAAUAAAUAUCCCACGGGGGCGCAAACGCACACAAAUAUAAAGUUAAGUAAAUAUCCCAUUAAUCAUUGUUGGGCAAGGAAAAUUGUGCCUAUCAAUUAUAAAGAUAAAAACUAAGGAUGCAAUAGGUUGAUAAUAAAAAUUAUAAUGGCCUGACACAUUGAAAUAAAAAGCCAGAGGUACAAUAGUAUCUACCAAUUAGUUCAGGGACAAGUUUAUAUAUUUAGCUAUUGCAACGUUACUUUUUUUUUAAAAAUAACAACAUAAUGUCAUGUGAGAUAAAUUAGGGUAAAUAAAUCAAUAGAAAAACCUGCAUGGU
This 1077-nucleotide unclassified non-coding RNA is filed under the name Hevea brasiliensis (rubber tree). Lineage: Eukaryota; Viridiplantae; Streptophyta; Magnoliopsida; Malpighiales; Euphorbiaceae. The record is from RNAcentral.